This 583-nucleotide ribosomal RNA is filed under the name Pseudomonas sp. EA_R_39. Its description in RNAcentral is "bacterial SSU rRNA". It matches the Rfam family "Bacterial small subunit ribosomal RNA", at positions 38 to 616 of the family's 1533-position model. The record is from RNAcentral. Lineage: Bacteria; Pseudomonadati; Pseudomonadota; Gammaproteobacteria; Pseudomonadales; Pseudomonadaceae.
GGCGGCAGGCCUAACACAUGCAAGUCGAGCGGUAGAGAGGUGCUUGCACCUCUUGAGAGCGGCGGACGGGUGAGUAAUGCCUAGGAAUCUGCCUGGUAGUGGGGGAUAACGCUCGGAAACGGACGCUAAUACCGCAUACGUCCUACGGGAGAAAGCAGGGGACCUUCGGGCCUUGCGCUAUCAGAUGAGCCUAGGUCGGAUUAGCUAGUUGGUGAGGUAAUGGCUCACCAAGGCGACGAUCCGUAACUGGUCUGAGAGGAUGAUCAGUCACACUGGAACUGAGACACGGUCCAGACUCCUACGGGAGGCAGCAGUGGGGAAUAUUGGACAAUGGGCGAAAGCCUGAUCCAGCCAUGCCGCGUGUGUGAAGAAGGUCUUCGGAUUGUAAAGCACUUUAAGUUGGGAGGAAGGGCAUUAACCUAAUACGUUAGUGUUUUGACGUUACCGACAGAAUAAGCACCGGCUAACUCUGUGCCAGCAGCCGCGGUAAUACAGAGGGUGCAAGCGUUAAUCGGAAUUACUGGGCGUAAAGCGCGCGUAGGUGGUUUGUUAAGUUGGAUGUGAAAUCCCCGGGCUCAACCUG